Thunnus maccoyii (southern bluefin tuna) is the source of this 348-nucleotide long non-coding RNA. RefSeq lists it as uncharacterized. The record is from RefSeq and is a predicted model, not a curated record. Lineage: Eukaryota; Metazoa; Chordata; Actinopteri; Scombriformes; Scombridae. The transcript is spliced from 2 exons.
CAGCUGUGGAAACUUCUGCAGGAACAACCGACCGAGAGCUGCUGCUGUUUUAAAGGCAAAGUGUGAUCACGCCAAACGUUGACUUUAUUUAGAACUAUUGUGCGACCCACCUGCUCUCCAUCACCACCAUGACCUCCAUGAUAUCCAGAGAGACUCGUCCAUCAACCGCCUGCCUGCUGGCUCCACUCCACCACCACCACCACCACCACCAGCGUCUAGACUCCAGGGGGGAUCCUGUCCUGUCUCCUGUCUUCAUUAUGCUUUAUGAGGAUGCUUCACAUCGAUGGAGUCUAAUCACCAAAACUCUGUCUGACGCUAACAUCAAUAAAUAUUGUUAUACAUUUCCAA